GAGUAGAAUAGUAUGAAUAGAAGACUCAACGAUACAGUUCAAUCAGUUAGUUUCUAGAAUAUUGUGCGCUUUACAUUUGAUUACAAGUGGUAGCGGAAUUUUCUGACAAAAAUUCACCAACGAGAUCUACUGUUUUGACGACUUACUUAAAAUCUAUAAUUAGUAAUGGCUGAAAUACCAUCUCUUGCGCUUUCCAAUGGAUAUAAAAUGCCUGCUUUUGGUCUUGGUACGUAUCAGUCCCGUGCUGGAGAGGUGGAAGCGGCUGUAAAGGAGGCAAUAAACCUAGGAUACCGUCACAUAGACACAGCGUUCUUCUAUCAAAAUGAGAAAGAAAUUGGUCAGGCAAUUCAAGCGAAGAUCAAGGAUGGAACUGUGAAAAGGGAAGAUCUUUUCGUUACAACUAAGCUCUGGAAUAACUUCCACAAAGAGUCAAGCGUAGUUCCAACAUGUAAGAAAUCGUUGGAAAAUCUCGGAUUAAGUUAUGUAGAUCUUUAUCUGAUUCAUUGGCCAUUUGCCUUCAAGGAAGGAGACGAUUUAAUGCCCAGAGACGAAAAUGGGGCACUUUUGAUGUCGGAUACUGACUACCUCGAAACAUGGAAAGGAAUGGAAGAGUGCGUGCGAUUAGGAUUAACUCGUAGUAUCGGAAUUAGUAAUUUCAAUCAGGAACAGAUCACUCGUUUACUUGCUGUAGCCAAGAUACUGCCUGUAAAUAAUCAGGUCGAAGUGAGCAUAAAUGUGGAUCAAAAGCCAUUGAUACAAUUCUGCCAAAAACAUAAUAUCACGAUAACCGGAUAUUCACCGCUAGGACAACCAGGUAAUAGGGCGGGGAUACCAACUUUCUUGGACAAUCCAGUGUUAGUAGAGUUUUCUAAAAAGUAUAACAAGACGACAGCACAAAUUGCUCUAAGAUAUGUCUUGCAACAAGGAAUCGCUAUCAUUCCGAAAACAGUAACACCGAGUCGAUUGAAAGAAAAUAUGAAUAUAUUUGAUUUUUCCUUAACGGAUGAGGAAAUGGCCUCUAUAGCAAAACUUGGCACGUAUCAACGUGUUGCACGAUUUGCAGAUGCAAAGGGGCAUAAGUACUACCCGUUCGAAUAAUAAAAGUUUCAUUGCAAACAAGUAAAAUGACAGGAAAUAGCUCAUCAGAUUCAGUAUAAAUUAAUAGUAAGGUAUAUCCCCUUUGAACUUGCAUAAUCCCACGGUGUAAUUCGGUACUUGUUUGACCCUUAUUUGGUCAAUUAGAUUUAUUGAAUGCCAUGGAAAAUUUCGAUGCUCCGGACGACGUGACAUCAUACGCUGUAACAAUGUGGACACUGUCACGGACAAGGCUAAUCGCAUUCAGCCAAUGUUAACCUUCAUUAAAGAGUGUAUACACUGCGAAAUCGUUAUAAAAUGCGAAUCGCUAAUAACUCAUUUAAAUGGUUAGUGCAACGUUGAAUAACAGAAAUAAAAAAAAAUAAGGUAAUUUCUGACUCUCGCAAUACAAAUACAUUUUUGUACUGCAGCGAAGCACGUACAAUCAAUAUGAAAACAAUUCUCGAAACUAUAAAACUUCUGUUUCAAGGAUGGAUGACGCAGUGAUGAUUAUUGUUUCUGUAAUCGUUAGAGAUACUGUAAGCGGAAAUACAAUCAACGGACUAGAACGAAGUUGAGUUGUUUGAAAAGAUGUAUUUUGAAUGAAAAUUGUAUCUAACGAAAUGAGAAUGCAAAUCCUAUAGUAUAUUUCAUUUUCAUUUUCAUGUACCAAAUUUUUAUAGUCAUAUGAAAGUACUACUAAUUGCUAUGAAAUCUAAUAUGCUUAGAAUUCUAAUAUACCUAAUUAAUUAUAAUAUGUAAAUUAAUUCAUAUGCAUAAUAAAUACAAUGAUGUAUACUUUCUGUAA
This is an RNA transcript of Bombus pyrosoma, 1882 nucleotides long. It is a transcript of the gene named 1,5-anhydro-D-fructose reductase-like, with no coding region annotated. The record is from RefSeq and is a predicted model, not a curated record. NCBI's taxonomy places the organism in Eukaryota, Metazoa, Arthropoda, Insecta, Hymenoptera, Apidae. The transcript is spliced from 8 exons.